RNAcentral lists this ribosomal RNA (305 nucleotides) under uncultured bacterium. Its description in RNAcentral is "bacterial SSU rRNA". It matches the Rfam family "Bacterial small subunit ribosomal RNA", at positions 333 to 655 of the family's 1533-position model. The record is from RNAcentral.
CUCCUCCUACGGGAGGCAGCAGUGGGGGAUAUUGCACAAUGGGGGGAACCCUGAUGCAGCGACGCCGCGUGGGUGAAGGAGCGCUUCGGCGCGUAAAGCCCUAUCGGCAGGGAAGAAGAUGACGGUACCUGACCAAGAAGCACCGGCUAACUCCGUGCCAGCAGCCGCGGUAAUACGGAGGGUGCGAGCGUUAUCCGGAUUUACUGGGUGUAAAGGGGGCGCAGACGGCGAUGCAAGCCAGGAGUGAAAGCCCGGGGCCCAACCCCGGGACUGCUCUUGGAACUGCGUGGCUGGAGUGCAGGAGG